This 26-nucleotide non-coding RNA is filed under the name Homo sapiens (human). The record is from RNAcentral. Lineage: Eukaryota; Metazoa; Chordata; Mammalia; Primates; Hominidae.
UAGGAGCAACCUGAGGUGCCCCAACA